GCACUCACUUCGGCAGCACACGUGCUAAAAUUGGAACGAUACAGAGAUUAGCAAGGCCCCUGCACAAGGAUGACACGCAAAUUUGUGAAGUGGUCCAUGUUUUU
This 104-nucleotide small nuclear RNA is filed under the name Tursiops truncatus (common bottlenose dolphin). Lineage: Eukaryota; Metazoa; Chordata; Mammalia; Artiodactyla; Delphinidae. The record is from RNAcentral.